Molecule: long non-coding RNA, 234 nt
Filed under: Carica papaya (papaya)
Lineage: Eukaryota; Viridiplantae; Streptophyta; Magnoliopsida; Brassicales; Caricaceae
Description: long non-coding RNA (CPAP_LNC006854)
Source: RNAcentral
UAAAAGUAGUAGACUCAUAACACUCAUUAGGGAGAUCAAUCCGAUAAGCAUUUAUCAUUGAUUUUCUCCAACACUUGAAAUGGUCCAUCACCUCUCGGAUCCAACUUUGACUUUUAUCGUUUUAGAAACCUUUUCUUGCACAUAUGUACCCAAACCCAAUCUCCAAGUUCACAUAGAACUUGUUUUCACCCUUUAUUAGCCCUUUAAACAUAAAUAUGGUUCUUCUUUUUAACU